RNAcentral lists this ribosomal RNA (271 nucleotides) under uncultured prokaryote. Its description in RNAcentral is "partial 16S ribosomal RNA". It matches the Rfam family "Bacterial small subunit ribosomal RNA", at positions 524 to 794 of the family's 1533-position model. The record is from RNAcentral.
UACGAAGGGUGCAAGCGUUAAUCGGAAUUACUGGGCGUAAAGCGCGCGUAGGCGGUUUGAUAAGUUGGAUGUGAAAGCCCCGGGCUCAACCUGGGAAUUGCAUCCAAAACUGUCUGACUAGAGUACGGUAGAGGGUGGUGGAAUUUCCUGUGUAGCGGUGAAAUGCGUAGAUAUAGGAAGGAACAUCAGUGGCGAAGGCGACCACCUGGACUGAUACUGACGCUGAGGUGCGAAAGCGUGGGGAGCAAACAGGAUUAGAUACCCGGGUAGU